UACGAAGGGGGCGAGCGUUAUUCGGAAUCACUGGGCGUAAAGCGUGCGUAGGCUGUUUUGUAAGUCAGAAGUGAAAGCCCAGGGCUUAACCCUGGAAUUGCUUUUGAAACUACAAGACUCGAAUUCGGGAGAGGAUAGCGGAAUUGUCAGUGUAGCAGUGAAAUGCGUAGAUAUUGACAGGAACACCAGUGGCGAAAGCGGCUAUCUGGACCGACAUUGACGCUGAGGCACGAAAGCGUGGGGAGCAAAC
RNAcentral lists this ribosomal RNA (250 nucleotides) under uncultured bacterium. Its description in RNAcentral is "partial 16S ribosomal RNA". It matches the Rfam family "Bacterial small subunit ribosomal RNA", at positions 524 to 773 of the family's 1533-position model. The record is from RNAcentral.